AAUGCCUAGGAAUCUGCCUGGUAGUGGGGGAUAACGUUCGGAAACGGACGCUAAUACCGCAUACGUCCUACGGGAGAAAGCAGGGGACCUUCGGGCCUUGCGCUAUCAGAUGAGCCUAGGUCGGAUUAGCUAGUUGGUGAGGUAAUGGCUCACCAAGGCGACGAUCCGUAACUGGUCUGAGAGGAUGAUCAGUCACACUGGAACUGAGACACGGUCCAGACUCCUACGGGAGGCAGCAGUGGGGAAUAUUGGACAAUGGGCGAAAGCCUGAUCCAGCCAUGCCGCGUGUGUGAAGAAGGUCUUCGGAUUGUAAAGCACUUUAAGUUGGGAGGAAGGGUUGUAGAUUAAUACUCUGCAAUUUUGACGUUACCGACAGAAUAAGCACCGGCUAACUCUGUGCCAGCAGCCGCGGUAAUACAGAGGGUGCAAGCGUUAAUCGGAAUUACUGGGCGUAAAGCGCGCGUAGGUGGUUUGUUAAGUUGGAUGUGAAAUCCCCGGGCUCAACCUGGGAACUGCAUUCAAAACUGACUGACUAGAGUAUGGUAGAGGGUGGUGGAAUUUCCUGUGUAGCGGUGAAAUGCGUAGACAUAGGAAGG
Molecule: ribosomal RNA, 596 nt
Filed under: uncultured bacterium
Lineage: Bacteria
Description: bacterial SSU rRNA
Rfam family: Bacterial small subunit ribosomal RNA
Source: RNAcentral